CACGCGCACAAAAAGAAAAUAAAUUAGUAGGACAAGAUCGAAACACAGCCUCCAAAAAUAUAAUGUAGCCUGUCUCGCGAUCGCAAGCCGAAAAAAGAUAUUCUGUUGUUGUUUCAAUGUAAACUGAACUUUAGUUCAGCUGAACUGAGGUUAGUUUAGGUUGGCACUACAAAUAUUUAGUUACUUUUGGUUUUUUUUAAUUUUUGACAUUUAACAUAACCUAAAAGGAGAGGUUUGUUUUGUUUUUGUUUUGAUUUGGCGGGCUGGGUUGCUUGCAAGUAAAAAAAAGUAAAAACAGUAAAAGUUUAUAAAAAGUGUAUUUUCUACUUGGUGUGGCUGGUACUACUAAUUAAGCUUGAUUUUACAUACCUAUAGAUACUUGGCCACAGGAAACAGUUACAAAAGUAUUGCAUACAGCUAUAGGAUGGGUGAUCGAACGGUCUCUAAUAUUGUGCGAGAAGUAUCUGAAGCAAUAUGGAAAUUGAUGCAACCGAAAUAUUUGCCGGAACCAUCGGAAGAGGACUGGAAAUCAGUUGAAGUUGAUUUUGAAAGAAAAUGGCAAUUCCCACAUUACAUUGGUGCCAUUGACGGUAGGCAUGUGGUGAUUAAAAAACCUGGAAAAAGUGGAUCCUCUUGUAUCAAUUAUAAACGUACGUUCUCCAUUGUACUAUUGGCUGUCGUCGACUCAAGUUAUAAAUUUAUCACUAUUGAUGUAGGAUCGCAAGGAAGAUUUAGCGAUGGAAACGUUUUCAGUACAAGCGUUUUGGCAAAGAAAAUUCGGAAUCAUACUUUACAUCUUCCAGCACCUUCUGUACUGCCUCCACUUGUGAACCCAAUACCAUAUGUGUUUGCAGGAGAUGAGCAUUCCCAUUGUCUGAGAAUUUGAUGAGACCUUAUCCUAAACGAAGCGUUAGGAUAAUUAUGAAAACAAAAUCUUUAAUUACAGACUAUCGCGAGCGCGCCAAACGGUUGAAUGCGCUUUCGGUAUACUUGCCUCGCGUUUUCGAGUUUUUCGAACUCCUUUUGAGAAUAAGGAAUUAUUCAGUAUCUCAAAGCGAAGACGACGGAAAAGAAGAUAUGCCGCAAAAUCAGCUACGCCCUUUACGAUCAACCAAUACUUGAAGUGUACAGAAAGCUUUUACGAUUCGACAGACUUUUACCAAUUAUUUCAACUCUGCGGGAACGGUACCUUGGCAAAGAGAAAGUGUUGCUAGAGGGAAGUACUAAGAUAUACAAUUUAUAAUAAAUAAAUAAACUUACCAGUUUUCAUAUCGACUUCUUUAGCG
Molecule: long non-coding RNA, 1286 nt
Organism: Anthonomus grandis grandis
Lineage: Eukaryota; Metazoa; Arthropoda; Insecta; Coleoptera; Curculionidae
Exons: 3
Source: RefSeq, a predicted model, not a curated record